Molecule: long non-coding RNA, 976 nt
Organism: Rattus norvegicus (Norway rat)
Lineage: Eukaryota; Metazoa; Chordata; Mammalia; Rodentia; Muridae
Source: RefSeq, a predicted model, not a curated record
GUCUUGCGUGAGAGAAAACUGAUUCGGUAGCGUUCCUGAAAACAAUUAAAAGGGGAGGUUCUACAUGAAAGUGUACCCCCGGGUUCCCCUGGUUGUUUUCUCACAGCCGAGGAACUGAAUCGGGCAGCUCUCCUUUGAGGAGUGGUGAGCAGUUGUGUGACACAUAUCAAGGAUCCUUGUCGUGACACAGCGAUGCCAAGGUUCGGUCCUCCAGUCUAUCACGCACUAAUCUGCUCGGGUCCCCCCUGAGUCCCAGGCAAGCAAGACACAGCCUCUCUUUGCUUCAGUUGGGACCAACGAUAACACUGUCCUCCGAGGGUCCUAGAGAGUCCCCUCACGAGACCUGGAAGAGUCUUAGGAUGUGUACGGCUGGUAAUCAGCAAUGUUCCCUUUGUUGGGCUCUCCUCUCCUUCAGCCUCAAGUGCAGAGGCUUUGAGAAACCCUAGGCCGACAAUCAUGAACUUGGGUCCUAAGGCUUGAGUAUAAAAACUCUCAUUCUGAGCAUCGUGGAGGAAAGGCCUGCUGUCUCCUCUGUCCUGUUAGAUCUACUCCUAUCUUUCACAGACAGGUUCAGCAUCCCCUCUUGAAGGCAGCUGCAUCCGGAGGAAGCCAGAAGGAGGCACAUGCCGCAUUCUAUCAGCAAGAGGACCAGAACCCUUGGACAGAGCACCAGGAAACAGUGGGAAAAGUGGAGCUAACCAGGAGAGAGAGAACCCCAGGAGCUCCCAUGGGAUGUUCACCCCUUCACAGCCUAGCAGAGCUCCUCACGCUGGUCUAGACCCCCCCCCUCUCCUCCAGGAGACACAGAAGAGCCAGAUGGAAAAGCCACUGACUAAAUUAAAACACACUAAUUGGGCAUUGGAUUUCUGCUGAAAAUGACCCCUCCCAGCGUCACUGGUGAGGUACUGUGUGGGUGUCGGAUGUACGACUAAGAGGAAAUUCUUCCACUCUGUACAAAUAAAUCAUUUGGAAUUCA